AUUGAACGCUGGCGGCAGGCCUAACACAUGCAAGUCGAACGGUAACAGGAAGAAGCUUGCUUCUUUGCUGACGAGUGGCGGACGGGUGAGUAAUGUCUGGGAAACUGCCUGAGGGAGGGGGAGAACUACUGGAAACGGUAGCUAAUACCGCAUAACGUCGCAAGACCAAAGAGUGGGACCUUCGGGCCUCUUGCCAUCUGAUGUGCCCAGAUGGGAUUAGCUAGUAGGUGGGGUAACGGCUCACCUAGGCGACGAACCCUAGCUGGUCUGAGAGGAUGACCAGCCACACUGGAACUGAGACACGGUCCAGACUCCUACGGGAGGCAGCAGUGGGGAAUAUUGCACAAUGGGCGCAAGCCUGAUGCAGCCCUGCCGCGUGUAUGAAGAAGGCCUUCGGGUUGUAAAGUACUUUCAGCGGGGAGGAAGGGAGUAAAGUUAAUACCUUAGCUCAUUGACGUUACCCGCAGAAGAAGCACCGGCUAACUCCGUG
RNAcentral lists this ribosomal RNA (490 nucleotides) under uncultured bacterium. Its description in RNAcentral is "partial 16S ribosomal RNA". It matches the Rfam family "Bacterial small subunit ribosomal RNA", at positions 30 to 507 of the family's 1533-position model. The record is from RNAcentral.